This 480-nucleotide ribosomal RNA is filed under the name uncultured Alphaproteobacteria bacterium. RNAcentral describes it as "bacterial SSU rRNA". It matches the Rfam family "Bacterial small subunit ribosomal RNA", at positions 9 to 523 of the family's 1533-position model. The record is from RNAcentral. Lineage: Bacteria; Pseudomonadati; Pseudomonadota; Alphaproteobacteria.
GAGUUUGAUCAUGGCUCAGAACGAACGCUGGCGGCAGGCUUAACACAUGCAAGUCGAACGAACCGUGCCCUUCGGGGCACAAUGUUAGUGGCGCACGGGUGAGUAACGCGUGGGAACAUGCCCUGUAGUACGGAAUAACCCAGGGAAACUUGGGCUAAUACCGUAUACGCCCUUCGGGGGAAAGAUUUAUCGCUAUAGGAUUGGCCCGCGUCUGAUUAGGUAGUUGGUGAGGUAACGGCUCACCAAGCCGACGAUCAGUAGCUGGUCUGAGAGGAUGAUCAGCCACACUGGGACUGAGACACGGCCCAGACUCCUACGGGAGGCAGCAGUGGGGAAUAUUGGACAAUGGGGGCAACCCUGAUCCAGCCAUGCCGCGUGAGUGAAGAAGGUUUUUUUGUUGUAAAGCUCUUUCGGCGGGGACGAUGAUGACGGUACCCGCAUAAGAAGCCCCGGCUAACUUCGUGCCAGCAGCCGCGGUAA